This is a long non-coding RNA of Plodia interpunctella (Indianmeal moth), 465 nucleotides long. RefSeq lists it as uncharacterized. NCBI's taxonomy places the organism in Eukaryota, Metazoa, Arthropoda, Insecta, Lepidoptera, Pyralidae. The transcript is spliced from 4 exons. The record is from RefSeq and is a predicted model, not a curated record.
UGUAAGAUGUCGCGUGUUUUAUACAGCCACCGCUGUUGAGUGCCAGUCCCACUGUAAUACAAGCCUAGUUGAUGGGCUGGCUACCGCGUUCUACGCUCCAAUUGACUCCGAGGGCAGUCGAGUACGCACACUCCAGUUCUACGUAGGCAUCGUCAGGUUGCGGUUGGUACACCGGCGCUGGCGGCGGGGGAGCUGCUUUAUCCUUGGCUGACGAUGGCUGAUGGUGAAUCAAUAAGAUUAAGACUGGGCCAACCUGAAUAUUUGAAGCGGUGUUGGUGUAAUAGUUAACACACCCGCCUGUGGAUCGAAAGGUCCCAGGCUUCUUCGGGGCCGUUUCAACUUUUUCCACUGAGUUGCGCACUUCAUCCACCCUCUUCCACUGAGCCAGGACCUGUUUUUCGCAGAGGAAGGUUUAAUCCCUUUGACCCCUUUGAUGGAGCGAGCACUCAUUACUGUUGGCCUUUC